Molecule: long non-coding RNA, 692 nt
Organism: Sitodiplosis mosellana (orange wheat blossom midge)
Lineage: Eukaryota; Metazoa; Arthropoda; Insecta; Diptera; Cecidomyiidae
Exons: 2
Source: RefSeq, a predicted model, not a curated record
GUCGUUAUUUUUAAAGUAAUGUUCGUUUGAUGAAUAAUACAUCAACAAUCUUUUAUAAUUUUCCUUUUUUUGAAGAUUUUUUUUUCCAUUUGCACAUCAAAUCAGAACAACGACACUUCGUAUGGACCAUUUUGAGAACAAAUCAUAGUGAUAAAAUGUAGUCAACAUCCUUGACCGUUUAAAAUGUAAACAGUGAUAUACAUUAAUUUACUGAAUUGGGUAAUGAUAGCGAAUUUGAGGAAAAUAUAAUCAUAAAUUAUUUUUGGUGAACGGUCAAUUUAGAUAACACUCCAUUAUAUUUAUAAACAUUCUCAUGAAAUAAUCAACAUACGAAUGUCAAAAUGCAAACGAAAAGAUUAACUUGCAUUGUCUCAAAACAAAUUUGACUGUGAUGCAGAGUGGAAGCCUCAGAAUGAAUUGCAAGAUUUUCUUUCUAUUGACUCUUUGCCAAAUUUGCUUCUCGGCAUACAUUCCUUCAAAGCAUGAUGAAAUAGAACAUACGACAGUGUAUACUACGAUACGGCCACGACCAAAUUUUAUACCUUGUAAUACCGUUCCACCAAAAAGGAUUUACUGAAGAAACAUCUAUAUCAUAUUUUAUGAAACAUCUAUGUUUCUAUAGAAUAAAACACUGUAAAAAAACACUAAAAUUUCAAAUAAAAUGUUGCUACGGCAAGUGGAAUAAAUGAUAA